RNAcentral lists this ribosomal RNA (230 nucleotides) under uncultured microorganism. Its description in RNAcentral is "partial 16S ribosomal RNA". It matches the Rfam family "Bacterial small subunit ribosomal RNA", at positions 524 to 753 of the family's 1533-position model. The record is from RNAcentral.
UACAGAGGGGGCAAGCGUUGUUCGGAAUUACUGGGCGUAAAGGGCGCGUAGGCGGCUUGCUAAGUCAGACGUGAAAUCCCCCGGCUCAACCGGGGAACUGCGUCUGAUACUGGCGAGCUUGAGUUCGGGAGAGGGAUGUGGAAUUCCAGGUGUAGCGGUGAAAUGCGUAGAUAUCUGGAGGAACACCGGUGGCGAAGGCGGCAUCCUGGACCGACACUGACGCUGAGGCG